GGCUCUGGGGUGUCACACGCGAGAUUGCAAAUCUCGAGAAGCAGAAUAAUAUUUCUGCCGGGGCUU
Molecule: transfer RNA, 66 nt
Filed under: Ceratophrys cornuta (Surinam horned frog)
Lineage: Eukaryota; Metazoa; Chordata; Amphibia; Anura; Ceratophryidae
Description: tRNA-Cys
Source: RNAcentral